AUGUUUCUUCCUCUUGUUGCCUCCUCCUCUGCAUCCACCGCCUCCACCAGCUUCUUCUCCGGCUCCGGCCGCUCCUUCCUCCCAGAUGCUUGUGUUCACAGCAAGGCGGGAUUGCGGUAUGGAUCGAGUCCCCUCCUCGUGCGCUCGUCGUCGGCCACUCCUCCGUCGCGUCAUCGCUUCCGACGAGCACCCACCGGCGGCAGAACCGUCGUCGUUGCAGCUGCAGCUGCUGACAGCAGCUACUGCCUAACAGCAAAAGAUAUACGUUGUGUGGUGAUGGACAUCGAGGGCACCACCACCCCCAUCUCCUUCGUCGCCGACGUGCUCUUCCCCUACGCGCGCGCCAACGCCCGCGCCCACCUCGCCGCCACAUACCACACCCAGCAGACCCGGGAAGAUGUCGCCCUCCUCCGUGCACAAAUCAACAAGGACCUCGCCGAGGGGGUCCCCGGCGCCGUCCCACUCCCACCGUCCAACGCCACCGACCAGGACAAGGUCAUCGACGCCCUGGUGGCCAACGUGCAGGCCAUGAUCGACGCAGACCGGAAGCUCACGGCGCUCAAGCAGCUGCAGGGCCGCGUGUGGCGGCGCGGCUUCAAGAGCGGCGAGAUCAAGGGGGAAGUCUACAACGACGUCGUCCAAGCUCUCGCGGAGUGGGACACGAAAGGCAUCAAGAGCUACAUCUACUCCAGCGGAAGCAGGGAGGCGCAGCGGCUCAUCUUCGGCAACACCGCCGACCACGGCGACCUCCGGCGGUACCUCUCCGCCUUCUUCGACACCAACGUCGGAGGCAAGAAAGAGUCUCGCAGUUACUACGAGAUCUGGCAGACCCUCGGCGUCGACAGCCCGUCCCAGAUACUCUUCCUGACCGAUGUCUACCAAGAAGCCACCGCUGCAAGGGAUGCAGGCCUUAAGGUGCUGAUAUCGAUCAGACCUGGAAACGCGCCGCUCCCUGAGGAUCACGGCUUCCAGACCAUCACGUCGUUUGCUCAGAUCUCCACCUGA
RNAcentral lists this ribosomal RNA (1005 nucleotides) under Triticum aestivum (bread wheat). RNAcentral's name for it is "partial small subunit ribosomal RNA". The record is from RNAcentral. Lineage: Eukaryota; Viridiplantae; Streptophyta; Magnoliopsida; Poales; Poaceae.